AGGCGCCCCUAGUACGAGAGGAACGGGGUAUCGUAGCCUCUAGUUUACCGGUUGUCCGACAGGGCACUGCCGGGCAGCCACGCUAUCGAGGAUAAGGGCUGAAAGCAUCUAAGCCCGAAACCUCUCCCGAAAAUAGGCA
RNAcentral lists this ribosomal RNA (139 nucleotides) under Candidatus Bathyarchaeota archaeon. RNAcentral's name for it is "partial 23S ribosomal RNA". It matches the Rfam family "Archaeal large subunit ribosomal RNA", at positions 2740 to 2878 of the family's 2987-position model. Lineage: Archaea; Thermoproteati; Candidatus Bathyarchaeota. The record is from RNAcentral.